CUUGUAUAUUAUAAAUUUCUAGGCGAGUGAUUUUGUCCAGUGAGGAUGAGAAUGAUGACAGUUGGUCCGGCAGUCAAAUCAGGCCUACACCUCCAUCCACCCUCAGUGCAUCCACCCUCAGGUCUGUGCAGACACCUGCACCGCCUCCAUCCACCCUCAGGUCUUCAACUCCAUCUGCUAGGCUGACACUUCCACCACCUCUGGGUAACCUUAGAUGGCCCGAUGUUUCAACCCAUCACCACGUCACCAUGUCACCAGAAGCCCCUCGUAGACAAAUCAGGGACAACAUGUUUGUUCGCAUCUUAACACUGCUUGAGGAGAUGAAAGAGACUCAAAAAAUCCAAGGGAGGAUGCUCCAAACGCUUCUACAACAGCGUGGCAACAUCAGCACCACUGUCUCUUCUACCCCAGAGGGUUUCCCCCUAAAGACAGUUAGAGAUGUGGAAUUAAUGGAAGAAAAACUGGCAAACCCAAACUUCAUGGCCGAACUGGUUGCAGCUGUGACUGACAUAGGGGGGGGGCGACUGUUGACGAGGCCACAAAAAGGAUGAUGACCUUCCUCCUAGACCAUGCCCUAUCCAGGCAGUAUAACUUUCUGGGCCGAAAUGGGAAGUGAGAGUUCAAGGCCUUAAAACUGUAUGAAGUAAUAUACGGAGGCUUAAAGAAAAAUGCCAUGACCAGCCAAAUCACCCGUAAAGAUGCAGAGAAGGCAGUCUCCAAGUGGCUCAGGGACCGUGGGGGUAAUAGACAGGCCCGACAGGCAACCCCUCAACAAGGACUUCAGACUUCAGGCCCAUUUGAGGUGGAAAGAAACUAAUUCUGUCUGUGACAGUGAGGGAACACUACAAACGCAUGUUGUAAUAAAUUUUACUUAAAUAAAAACAUAAUUAAUUGUA
Molecule: long non-coding RNA, 896 nt
Organism: Labeo rohita (rohu)
Lineage: Eukaryota; Metazoa; Chordata; Actinopteri; Cypriniformes; Cyprinidae
Exons: 4
Source: RefSeq, a predicted model, not a curated record